AUUGAACGCUGGCGGCAGGCUUAACACAUGCAAGUCGAGCGGAGAUGAGGUGCUUGCACCUUAUCUUAGCGGCGGACGGGUGAGUAAUGCUUAGGAAUCUGCCUAUUAGUGGGGGACAACAUUCCGAAAGGAAUGCUAAUACCGCAUACGUCCUACGGGAGAAAGCAGGGGAUCUUCGGACCUUGCGCUAAUAGAUGAGCCUAAGUCGGAUUAGCUAGUUGGUGGGGUAAAGGCCUACCAAGGCGACGAUCUGUAGCGGGUCUGAGAGGAUGAUCCGCCACACUGGGACUGGAACACGGCCCAGACUCCUACGGGAGGCAGCAGUGGGGAAUAUUGGACAAUGGGGGGAACCCUGAUCCAGCCAUGCCGCGUGUGUGAAGAAGGCCUUAUGGUUGUAAAGCACUUUAAGCGAGGAGGAGGCUACUGAGACUAAUACUCUUGGAUAGUGGACGUUACUCGCAGAAUAAGCACCGGCUAACUCUGUGCCAGCCGCCGCUGUAA
RNAcentral lists this ribosomal RNA (501 nucleotides) under uncultured bacterium. RNAcentral describes it as "partial 16S ribosomal RNA". It matches the Rfam family "Bacterial small subunit ribosomal RNA", at positions 30 to 523 of the family's 1533-position model. The record is from RNAcentral.